CCUACGGGAGGCAGCAGUGGGGAAUAUUGGGCAAUGGGCGCAAGACUGACCCAGCAACGCCGCGGGAAGGAAGAAGGCUUUCGGGUUGUAAAAUUCUUGUCUGAGGGACGAAGAAAGAGACGGUACCUCAGGAAUAAGCCACGGCUAACUACGUGCCAGCAGCCGCGGUAAUACGUAGGUGGCAAGCGUUAUCCGGAUUGAUUGGGUGUAAAGGGCGCGUAGGCGGGAAAGCAAGUCAGAUGUGAAAACUCAGGGCUCAACCCUGAGCCUGGAUUUGAAACUUUUUUUCUUGAGUGCUGGAGAGGCAAUCGGAAUUCCGGGUGUAGCGGUGAAAUGCGUAGAUAUACGGAGGAACACCAGUGGCGAAGGCGGAUUGCUGGACAGUAACUGACGCUGAGGCGCGAAAGCGUGGGGAGCAAACAGGAUUAGAUACCCCAGUAGUC
This 443-nucleotide ribosomal RNA is filed under the name uncultured bacterium. RNAcentral's name for it is "partial 16S ribosomal RNA". It matches the Rfam family "Bacterial small subunit ribosomal RNA", at positions 338 to 795 of the family's 1533-position model. The record is from RNAcentral.